CUCUUAUCCAGAGAGGUGGAGGGACAGGGCCCUACGAAACCCGGCAACCAGUGUUUGACACAAUGGUGCCAAUUCCUGCAGAUUAUAUUUUAUAUGUUCUGCAAGAUAAGAG
Molecule: non-coding RNA, 112 nt
Filed under: Clostridium collagenovorans
Lineage: Bacteria; Bacillati; Bacillota; Clostridia; Eubacteriales; Clostridiaceae
Also listed under: 1 other name
Description: SAM-I sequence
Rfam family: SAM riboswitch aptamer (S box leader)
About the family: The SAM riboswitch is found upstream of a number of genes which code for proteins involved in methionine or cysteine biosynthesis in Gram-positive bacteria.
Source: RNAcentral